RNAcentral lists this ribosomal RNA (468 nucleotides) under uncultured bacterium. RNAcentral describes it as "partial 16S ribosomal RNA". It matches the Rfam family "Bacterial small subunit ribosomal RNA", at positions 28 to 507 of the family's 1533-position model. The record is from RNAcentral.
GACGAACGCUGGCGGCGUGCUUAACACAUGCAAGUCGAACGGAAAGGCCCUGCUUUUGUGGGGUGCUCGAGUGGCGAACGAGUGAGUAACACGUGAGUAACCUGCCCUUGACUUUGGGAUAACUUCAGGAAACUGGGGCUAAUACCGGAUAGGAGCUCCUGCUGCAUGGUGGGGGUUGGUAAGUUUCGGCGGUGGGGGAUGGACUCGCGGCUUAUCCGCUUGUUGGUGGGGUAGGUGCUUACCAAGGCUUUGACGGGUAGCCGGCCUGAGAGGGUGACCGGCCACAUUGAGCCUGAGAGACGGCCCAGACUCCUACGGGAGGCAGCAGUGGGGAAUCUUGCACAAUGGGCGCAAGCCUGAUGCAGCAACGCCGCGUGCGGGAUGACGGCCUUCGGGUGGUAAACCGCUUUGGCCUGUGACGAAGCGUGAGUGACGGUAAUGGGUAAAGAAGCACCGGCUAACUACGUG